GUGCACUCACUUAGGUAGCACAUAUACUAAAAUUGGAAUGAUAAAGAGAAGAUGAUAAUGGUCCCUGCACAAGUAUGACACACAAAUUUGUGAAGUGUUCUAUAUUUUA
This 109-nucleotide small nuclear RNA is filed under the name Salvator merianae (Argentine black and white tegu). Lineage: Eukaryota; Metazoa; Chordata; Lepidosauria; Squamata; Teiidae. The record is from RNAcentral.